GCUUUCGUGGCCCAACCGGUAGAGGCGACAAUCCAAGGAACUGUCCGGUCCGGGUUCGAAUCCCGGCGAAAGCAC
This 75-nucleotide transfer RNA is filed under the name Bifidobacterium longum. RNAcentral describes it as "tRNA-Leu(aag)". It matches the Rfam family "tRNA". Rfam says of the family: Transfer RNA (tRNA) molecules are approximately 80 nucleotides in length. The record is from RNAcentral. Lineage: Bacteria; Bacillati; Actinomycetota; Actinomycetes; Bifidobacteriales; Bifidobacteriaceae.